Molecule: small RNA, 177 nt
Filed under: Chrysemys picta bellii (western painted turtle)
Lineage: Eukaryota; Metazoa; Chordata; Testudines; Emydidae
Description: TUC338 (ENSCPBG00000008003.1)
Source: RNAcentral
UGGAACCCCACCGACCAGAGCCCUCUGACUUCUGCAAGGAGAGUCCAGCAGAGCAGGAGGGUCGGGGGAUGCUUCCCACACGCUGCCCCCCCUACAGGCCUUUGUCCUGUCCUGGAGGGACCCCCUCUGGGGGAGAAGGUAAGUUUGGUUUCCAUUACCCAUCCCAGCCUCAGUGCU